This 301-nucleotide ribosomal RNA is filed under the name uncultured bacterium. RNAcentral's name for it is "partial 16S ribosomal RNA". It matches the Rfam family "Bacterial small subunit ribosomal RNA", at positions 509 to 807 of the family's 1533-position model. The record is from RNAcentral.
CAGCAGCCGCGGUAAUACGAAGGGUGCAAGCGUUACUCGGAAUUACUGGGCGUAAAGCGUGCGUAGGCGGUUUGUUAAGUCUGUUGUGAAAUCCCCGGGCUCAACCUGGGAAUGGCAAUGGAUACUGGCAAGCUAGAGUGUGUCAGAGGAUGGUGGAAUUCCCGGUGUAGCGGUGAAAUGCGUAGAGAUCGGGAGGAACAUCAGUGGCGAAGGCGGCCAUCUGGGACAACACUGACGCUGAGGCACGAAAGCGUGGGGAGCAAACAGGAUUAGAUACCCGAGUAGUCCCUGUCUCUUAUAC